AGAGUUUGAUCAUGGCUCAGAUUGAACGCUGGCGGCAUGCCUUACACAUGCAAGUCGAACGGUAACAGGUUAAGCUGACGAGUGGCGAACGGGUGAGUAAUGUAUCGGAACAUGCCCAGUCGUGGGGGAUAACUACUCGAAAGAGUGGCUAAUACCGCAUACGACCUGAGGGUGAAAGCGGGGGACCGUAAGGCCUCGCGCGAUUGGAGCGGCCGAUAUCAGAUUAGCUAGUUGGUGGGGUAAAAGCCCACCAAGGCGACGAUCUGUAGCUGGUCUGAGAGGACGACCAGCCACACUGGGACUGAGACACGGCCCAGACUCCUACGGGAGGCAGCAGUGGGGAAUUUUGGACAAUGGACGCAAGUCUGAUCCAGCCAUGCCGCGUGCGGGAAGAAGGCCUUCGGGUUGUAAACCGCUUUUGUCAGGGAAGAAACGAGUUUCUCUAAUACAGAGACUUAAUGACGGUACCUGAAGAAUAAGCACCGGCUAACUACGCGCCAGCAGCCGCGGUAAUACGUAGGGUGCAAGCGUUAAUCGGAAUUACUGGGCGUAAAGCGUGCGCAGGCGGUUAUGCAAGACAGAGGUGAAAUCCCCGGGCUCAACCUGGGAACUGCCUUUGUGACUGCAUAGCUAGAGUACGGCAGAGGGGGAUGGAAUUCCGCGUGUAGCAGUGAAAUGCGUAGAUAUGCGGAGGAACACCGAUGGCGAAAGCAAUCCCCUGGGCCUGUACUGACGCUCAUGCAAGAAAGCGUGGGGAGCACACCAGUGAUGAGAUACUUUGUUACUCCACCCGCAUACGAGAUCUCAAUUAGUUGUGGGGUUUUAAUUGAUUUUCGUAACGCAGUUAUCGCGUGAAUUUGACCGUCUGGGGAGUACGGUCGCAAGAAUAAAUCUCAAAGGAAUAGGGGGGGCCCCGCACAAGCGGUAGAGGAUGUUGAAUUUUGAGACGAAUUGAGAACCCCUUACUCUCCCCUUGACAUGGCCGGAAUCGUGAAGAGAUUUGGGAGUGCCCGCAAGAGAACUUGCACACAGGUGUCCAUGGCGUUCGUCAGCUCGUGUCGUGAGAUGUUGGGUUAAGUCCCGCACCGAGCCCAACCUUUGCCAUUUGUUCCUAGGAAAGGGCACUUUAAUGAGACUGCGGGUGACAACCGGGAGGAAGGUGGGGAUGACGUCAAUUCUUCAUGCCCUUUCUGGGUAGGGAUACACACUUCAUACAAGGGUACAUACAGAGGGCUGCCAAUCCGAGAGGGGGAGAUAACCCCAGAAACGGUCGUAUUCCGGAUCGUAGUUGCAACUCGACUUCGUGAAGUCGGAAUCGCUAGUAAUCGCGGAUCAGCUUGCCGCGGUGAAUUCGUUCCCGGGUUUUGUACACACCGCCCGUC
This 1382-nucleotide ribosomal RNA is filed under the name uncultured bacterium. Its description in RNAcentral is "16S ribosomal RNA". It matches the Rfam family "Bacterial small subunit ribosomal RNA". The record is from RNAcentral.